UGAGUAACGCGUGGGUAACCUACCCCAAAGUCCGGGAUAACAGCGGGAAACCGCUGCUAAUACCGGAUGCCUUUACCUUGGGGCAUCUUGAGGUAAAGAAAGGUAACGCUUUGGGAUGGGCCCGCGUCCCAUUAGCUAGUUGGUGAGGUAACGGCUCACCAAGGCGACGAUGGGUAGCCGGCCUGAGAGGGUGGACGGCCACACUGGGACUGAGACACGGCCCAGACUCCUACGGGAGGCAGCAGUAGGGAAUAUUGCGCAAUGGACGGAAGUCUGACGCAGCGACGCCGCGUGAGCGAUGAAGGUCUUCGGAUCGUAAAGCUCUGUCCUUGGGGAAGAAGGCGAAAGCUUGACGGUACCCAAGAAGAAAGCCCCGGCUAACUACGUGCCAGCAGCCGCGGUAAUACGUAGGGGGCGAGCGUUGUCCCGGAAUUACUGGGCGUAAAGGGUGCGUAGGCGGCCCUUUAAGUCGGAUGUGAA
RNAcentral lists this ribosomal RNA (480 nucleotides) under uncultured bacterium. RNAcentral describes it as "bacterial SSU rRNA". It matches the Rfam family "Bacterial small subunit ribosomal RNA", at positions 107 to 598 of the family's 1533-position model. The record is from RNAcentral.